Molecule: ribosomal RNA, 496 nt
Filed under: uncultured bacterium
Lineage: Bacteria
Description: partial 16S ribosomal RNA
Rfam family: Bacterial small subunit ribosomal RNA
Source: RNAcentral
GAUGAACGCUGGCGGCGUGCCUAAUACAUGCAAGUCGAGCGAACGGACGAGAAGCUUGCUUCUCUGAUGUUAGCGGCGGACGGGUGAGUAACACGUGGAUAACCUACCUAUAAGACUGGGAUAACUUCGGGAAACCGGAGCUAAUACCGGAUAAUAUUUUGAACCGCAUGGUUCAAAAGUGAAAGACGGUCUUGCUGUCACUUAUAGAUGGAUCCGCGCUGCAUUAGCUAGUUGGUAAGGUAACGGCUUACCAAGGCAACGAUGCAUAGCCGACCUGAGAGGGUGAUCGGCCACACUGGAACUGAGACACGGUCCAGACUCCUACGGGAGGCGGCAGUAGGGAAUCUUCCGCAAUGGGCGAAAGCCUGACGGAGCAACGCCGCGUGAGUGAUGAAGGUCUUCGGAUCGUAAAACUCUGUUAUUAGGGAAGAACAUAUGUGUAAGUAACUGUGCACAUCUUGACGGUACCUAAUCAGAAAGCCACGGCUAACUACGU